GAUGAAGAACGUAGCGAAAUGCGAUAAGUAGUGUGAAUUGCAGAAUUCAGUGAAUCAUCGAAUCUUUGAACGCACAUUGCGCCCUUUGGUAUUCCAAAGGGCAUGCCUGUUCGAGCGUCAUUUGUACCCUCAAGCUUUGCUUGGUGUUGGGCGUCUUGUCUCUAGCUUUGCUGGAGACUCGCCUUAAAGUAAUUGGCAGCCGGCCUACUGGUUUCGGAGCGCAGCACAAGUCGCACUCUCUAUCAGCAAAGGUAUAGCAUCCAAUAAGCCUUUUUUUCAACUUUUGACCUCGGAUCAGGUAGGGAUACCCGCUGAACUUAAGCAUAUCAAUAAGCGGAGGA
RNAcentral lists this unclassified non-coding RNA (341 nucleotides) under soil metagenome. RNAcentral's name for it is "partial contains 5.8S ribosomal RNA, internal transcribed spacer 2, and large subunit ribosomal RNA". The stretch from base 1 to 120 matches the Rfam family "5.8S ribosomal RNA", at positions 35 to 154 of the family's 154-position model. The record is from RNAcentral.